Molecule: long non-coding RNA, 540 nt
Filed under: Carica papaya (papaya)
Lineage: Eukaryota; Viridiplantae; Streptophyta; Magnoliopsida; Brassicales; Caricaceae
Description: long non-coding RNA (CPAP_LNC012792)
Source: RNAcentral
UUUAUUUUCAUUAUGUGAAGUGGUGUCUAUAUAGCCAUACAAAAAUAACAUAAAGCAAAUAUAAUUUAUCAAAGAUCAUUAUAGAACUUUGAUUUUCAGGGGUUAUUAAAAACAGAAAGCUAAAAGACUAAGUCAACAAUUAAAUUUUCGUAACAGAGUGGAAUCCACUACCGGUUCCCUUCUUCUAUCGCAGCACCUCUCCUCUCGGUUUGGUCUGCCUCGCGCAAAGCCACCUUCUCCACCGUGUACACCAGGCCACCACGACUCCUUUUUCUUCUUCUCAUUUUUCUUUUUCUUCUUCUUCUUCUUCUUCUUGCCCCAUCUCUCUCUAUACCCGAUCGUGUCUCUUCUCUCUCCCCUUAUAUUUUCCUUCGCUGCAUCUCUCUCCCUCUCAUAAUGUCUCCUCUCUUUCCUUUUUUGCGGUGCCUCAUCUUUCUCUUUCCUCUCCUCCAGCCGCGAUAGCUUCCUCCUUCUAGUCGCUGAGCGGUUUUCUCCUUCUUUACUUCUCUCUCAUUUUUUUCCUUUCCAGCUGGGUCUUCU